GACGAACGCUGGCGGCGUGCUUAACACAUGCAAGUCGAACGGAAAGGCCCUGCUUUUGUGGGGUGCUCGAGUGGCGAACGGGUGAGUAACACGUGAGUAACCUGCCCUUGACUUUGGGAUAACUUCAGGAAACUGGGGCUAAUACCGGAUAGGAGCUCCUGCUGCAUGGUGGGGGUUGGAAAGUUUCGGCGGUUGGGGAUGUACUCGCGGCUUAGCAGCUUGUUGGUGGGGUAGUGGCUUACCAAGGCUUUGACGGGUAGCCGGCCUGGGAGGGAGACCGGGUACAGAGGACUAGGGGAGGGGCCAGGAGGGAAACGGGGGGAAGGGGUGGGAGAAUGACGGAAAAAGGCCGAGUGAGGGAUGAAGAACUCCGGGUGGGGAAGGACGGUUUUGGGGGUAGAACACGUUUGGACGUGACAAGACGCGGGGGGACGGUAAAUGGUUAAAAAGCCACGGCUAAAUAAGGG
This 467-nucleotide ribosomal RNA is filed under the name uncultured bacterium. RNAcentral describes it as "partial 16S ribosomal RNA". The stretch from base 20 to 322 matches the Rfam family "Bacterial small subunit ribosomal RNA", at positions 47 to 358 of the family's 1533-position model. The record is from RNAcentral.